GGCGAGGAGGCUGGCUCCAGGCGGGCGGGCGCCCCGGCCGAGGUUGCCUAAGCCUGGACGCCGGCCGGCUGUCAGCGAGGGCGUGUUCUUAGCCCCAGGGUGCUCAGGCCAGCGCGACACCACCAGUUCUGCCUCAGCUGUGGGACAAAGUUCUCAGGUAGAGAACGCACGAAAGGCAGAAAGUCGAGGACAAGGAGAACUCUACCAUCAUUCAUGAUCUCUGUCCUGGAUCCUUGGGGCACUCUAGCACCUGCCAUUUCAUCUGUAUCUUAGCCCAGUAAAAAGGCAGAGAGAAAAGAGGUCACAUCUCCGUGUUUUAUUUAAGAGUGGCCCAAAGGUGGCACGUGUCAUUUUGACUCUUACCUAGUUAGAGACGUAACCAACAUCUGUUAGAAAGCUAAACAAUGAAGUUCUGCAGCUGAGCAACCAGAGCUCCAAUUAGCAGUGGGCAGUUUGGAAGUUCUGGUAAUGAAGAAGAUGCAUGCAACCAUUCAUCAUGAUACAUCUGCUUAAGUGAAUUAAUAAAUGGCUAACAGGCUAGUAAAGCACAGUUCUGGGGUGUCUGUGGAAGACUGACAUGCGGGCCAGUACCCUCAAAGGGGAAGACUCACCCCUGACAUGGGUGCCACAACCAACAGGCUUGUAGCAGGGAUGGGAAAUAAAAAAGAAAGGAGGAGUAAGUGUGCCCAUUUCUGAAGAGCCCCAGUCUUUACCAUCUCCUUUGGACAUCGGUCUCCAGUAUCUUCAGCCCUCCAACACAGACUUGCACUGGUGACUACUGGACCACUGCUGCAUCUUGAUCCCUCUUCCGGGGCCUCCAUCUUCUUGAGUUGAGCAGCUCCUGGAUGCUCCAGGUCCACACCAUCCUGACAGCCAUUGUGGAUUCUUCCACCUUGAAUUCCACAGACAUCCACUGUGGACUCUCCCACCUCUGAUCAUGAAGCCUAACUAAUAAAUCCCCUUGCAUAAUUACACAUA
Molecule: long non-coding RNA, 978 nt
Organism: Heterocephalus glaber (naked mole-rat)
Lineage: Eukaryota; Metazoa; Chordata; Mammalia; Rodentia; Bathyergidae
Source: RefSeq, a predicted model, not a curated record